This is a long non-coding RNA of Oncorhynchus keta (chum salmon), 2001 nucleotides long. RefSeq lists it as uncharacterized. NCBI's taxonomy places the organism in Eukaryota, Metazoa, Chordata, Actinopteri, Salmoniformes, Salmonidae. The transcript is spliced from 5 exons. The record is from RefSeq and is a predicted model, not a curated record.
UGGGGGAAUAAGGUGUUAAAAAGUAGUGCACUACAUGGGGGGGAAUAAGGAGUUAAAAAGUAGUGCACUACAUGGGGGGAAUAAGGAGUUAAAAAGUAGUGUACUACAUGGGGGGAAUAAGGAGUUAAAAAGUAGUGCACUACAUGGGGGGAAUAAGGAGUUAAAAAGUAGUGCACUACAUGGGGGGAAUAAGGAGUUAAAAAGUAGUGCACUACAUGGGGGGAAUAAGGAGUUAAAAAUAGUGUACUACAUAGGGAAUAGGCUGUUCAGAGAGAGAGAAGACCUCUAUAGCCAUGCUACUGUAUUGCUGCUGUGUGACUGAAGGUGCCAUGUUUCUGAUCAGAUCUUCCUGGUCUCAGAUCUGCUUGUCGUUGGAGUUCAAUUCCUCUGACUAUUAUUGGGACAAGAUUUGGCUCUAAAAUACAAACCGGGCAUCCCAAAUGGCACCCCGUUCCCAUUUAUAUUGAGCUACCCUAAUGGGCCCUGGUCAGAAGUAGUAUACUAUAUAGGGAAUAGGGUUCUGGUCUAAAGUAGUAUACUAUAUAGGGAAUAGGGUUCUGGUCUAAAGUAGUGCACUAUAUAGGGAAUAGGGCUCUGGUCUAAAGUAGUAUACUAUAUAGGGAAUAUGGUUCUGGUCUAAAGUAGUAUACUAUAUAGGGAAUAUGGUUCUGGUCUAAAGUAGUAUACUAUAUAGGGAACAGGGUUCUGGUCUAAAGUAGUAUACUAUAUAGGGAAUAGGGCUCUGGUCUAAAGUAGUAUACUAUAUAGGGAAUAUGGUUCUGGUCUAAAGUAGUAUACUAUAAUAGGGAAUAGGGCUCUGGUCUAAAGUAGUAUACUAUAAUAGGGCUCUGGUCUAAAGUAGUAUACUAUAUAGGGAAUAGGGCUCUGGUCUAAAGUAGUAUACUAUAUAGGGAAUAGGUUUCUGGUCUAAAGUAGUAUACUAUAUAGGGAAUAUGGUUCUGGUCUAAAGUAGUAUACUAUAAUAGGGAAUAUGGUUCUGGUCUAAAGUAGUAUACUAUAUAGGGAACAGGGUUCUGGUCUAAAGUAGUAUACUAUAUAGGGAAUAGGGCUCUGGUCUAAAGUAGUAUACUAUAUAGGGAAUAUGGUUCUGGUCUAAAGUAGUAUACUAUAAUAGGGAAUAGGGCUCUGGUCUAAAGUAGUAUACUAUAAUAGGGCUCUGGUCUAAAGUAGUAUACUAUAUAGGGAAUAGGUUUCUGGUCUAAAGUAGUAUACUAUAUAGGGAAUAGGUUUCUGGUCUAAAGUAGUAUACUAUAUAGGGAAUAGGUUUCUGGUCUAAAGUAGUAUACUAUAUAGGGAAUAGGUUUCUGGUCAGAAGCUGUGCACUAUUAGGGAAUAGGGUGCCAUUUGGGAUGUAGAUAUACAGAUCUGGGACCAGUCUUAAAGUUUGACUACAGAGCCAGAAGGAUAUUUUCAGAGAAGAAGGCGCCUUACACAUCUACUUUAGAUUGAUGUGUUUUUCAUUCAUUAACUUAUAAAAGGAAGUUCAUAAUAUAUGUCAGUUCUUUAUGUGUUAUUUAGUUUUUUUAACUAAAUUAUAUGGAUUUAAAACUUGAGGAUUGAAUAUCGGCACUGAUAAAAAUGUAUCUAUUUAUUUGAAACUUCUCCCUCUUGUUCAUUUUACGGCUAAAUUUAAAACAGAAGAAAAUAUUACACAGCAGUUUUUUCUCUUUUGAGUGAAUGGAAAUGUUUUGGAUGUUUAAAAAAAUAUGUGUAUUAAUAAUGUAUAGUUAGUUUUACCACUGUUUUGCUUAUUGUGAGCCUACGUCAGAACAAACAACUUGUUUUCCCCAAAGUCGGCGGUAAAACCCUCUGUUCUCCACCCGGGGUAUUCCGGAAUAUCCAAACUCCGGUUCCAGAAUGAAUUAUAAUAUCCAAACUCCGGUUCCAGAAUGAAUUAUAAUAUCCAAACUCCGGUUCCGGAAUGAAUUAUAAUAUCCAAACUCCGGUUCCGGAAUGAAUUAUAAUAUCCAAACUCCGGUU